Molecule: ribosomal RNA, 440 nt
Filed under: uncultured bacterium
Lineage: Bacteria
Description: bacterial SSU rRNA
Rfam family: Bacterial small subunit ribosomal RNA
Source: RNAcentral
CUACGGGAGGCAGCAGUGGGGAAUAUUGGACAAUGGGCGCAAGCCUGAUCCAGCCAUGCCGCGUGAGUGAUGAAGGCCCUAGGGUUGUAAAGCUCUUUCACCGGUGAAGAUAAUGACGGUAGCCGGAGAAGAAGCCCCGGCUAACUUCGUGCCAGCAGCCGCGGUAAUACGAAGGGGGCUAGCGUUGUUCGGAAUUACUGGGCGUAAAGCGCACGUAGGCGGACAUUUAAGUCAGGGGUGAAAUCCCGGGGCUCAACCUCGGAACUGCCUUUGAUACUGGGGAUCUCGAGUUCGGGAGAGGUGAGUGGAACUGCGAGUGUAGAGGUGAAAUUCGUAGAUAUUCGCAAGAACACCAGUGGCGAAGGCGGCUCACUGGCCCGAUACUGACGCUGAGGUGCGAAAGCGUGGGGAGCAAACAGGAUUAGAUACCCUAGUAGUCC